AGCUUGCUCCUGGAUUCAGCGGCGGACGGGUGAGUAAUGCCUAGGAAUCUGCCUGGUAGUGGGGGAUAACGUCCGGAAACGGGCGCUAAUACCGCAUACGUCCUGAGGGAGAAAGUGGGGGAUCUUCGGACCUCACGCUAUCAGAUGAGCCUAGGUCGGAUUAGCUAGUUGGUGGGGUAAAGGCCUACCAAGGCGACGAUCCGUAACUGGUCUGAGAGGAUGAUCAGUCACACUGGAACUGAGACACGGUCCAGACUCCUACGGGAGGCAGCAGUGGGGAAUAUUGGACAAUGGGCGAAAGCCUGAUCCAGCCAUGCCGCGUGUGUGAAGAAGGUCUUCGGAUUGUAAAGCACUUUAAGUUGGGAGGAAGGGCAGUAAGUUAAUACCUUGCUGUUUUGACGUUACCAACAGAAUAAGCACCGGCUAACUUCGUGCCAGCAGCCGCGGUAAUACGAAGGGUGCAAGCGUUAAUCGGAAUUACUGGGCGUAAAGCGCGCGUAGGUGGUUCAGCAAGUUGGAUGUGAAAUCCCCGGGCUCAACCUGGGAACUGCAUCCAAAACUACUGAGCUAGAGUACGGUAGAGGGUGGUGGAAUUUCCUGUGUAGCGGUGAAAUGCGUAGAUAUAGGAAGGAACACCAGUGGCGAAAGCGACCACCUGGACUGAUACUGACACUGAGGUGCGA
This 683-nucleotide ribosomal RNA is filed under the name Pseudomonas aeruginosa. RNAcentral's name for it is "bacterial SSU rRNA". It matches the Rfam family "Bacterial small subunit ribosomal RNA", at positions 77 to 756 of the family's 1533-position model. Lineage: Bacteria; Pseudomonadati; Pseudomonadota; Gammaproteobacteria; Pseudomonadales; Pseudomonadaceae. The record is from RNAcentral.